GACGAACGCUGGCGGCGUGCCUAAUACAUGCAAGUAGGACGCACAGAUUAUACCGUACCUUGCUACACCAUAGACUGAGAGUUGCGAACGGGUGAGUAACGCGGACGUAACCUGCCUAUUAAAGGGGGAUAACUAUUGCAAACGAUAGCUAAUACCGCAUAACAGUAUGUAACACAUGUUAGAUGCUUGAAAGAUGCAAUUGCAUCGCUAGUAGAUGGACCUGCGUUGUAUUAUCUAGUACGUAGGGUAAAGGCCUACCUAGGCAACCAUACAUAGCCAACCUGAGAGGGGGAUCGGACACACUGGCACUGAUACACGGCCCAGACUCCUACGGGAAGCAUCAGUAAGGAAUCUUCGGCUAUGGGGGGAACCCUGACCGAGCAACGCCGCGCGACUGAACAAGGUUUUCGGAUCGUAAAGCUCUGUUGUUGACGAAGAACGAGUGUGAGAAUGCAAAGUUCAUGCUGUGACGGUACUUAACCAUAAAGGGACGGCUAACUACAUGCCAACAUCCGCGGUAAUACGUAUGUCCCGAGCGUUGUCCGGAUUUAAUGGGCGUACACCGAGCGCAGGCGUGUAAAAGAGUCUGAAGUUAAAGGCUGUGACUUAACCAUAGUACACUUUAGAAACUGUUGAACUUGAGUGCAGAAGGGAAGAGUGGAAUUCCAUGUGUAGCGAAGAAAUGCGUAUAUAUAUGGAGGAACACCGAUGGCGAAAGCGGCUCUCUGGUCUGUAACUGACGCUGAGGCUCGAAAGCGUGGGGCAGCGAACAGGAUUAGAUACCUUGGUAGUCCACACCGUAAACGAUGAGUGUUAGGUGUUAGGUGCUUUCGGGGAGUUAGUGCCGCAGUUAACUCAUUAAGCACUCAGUUGGGGGAGUAGGGCUGCAAGUUUGAAACUCAAAGGAAUUGACGGGGGCCCGCACAAGCGGUGGAGCAUGUGGUUUAAUUCGAAGCGAACGCGAAGAACCUUAGCAGGUCUUGACAUCGGGAUGUUAUUUCUAGAGAUAGGAAGUUUCUUCGGAACAUCGGUGACAGGUGGUGCAUGGUUGUUGUCAUCUCGUGUCGUGAGAUGUUGGGUUAAGUCCCGCAACGAGCGCAACCUUUAUUGUUAGUUGCCAUCAUUGAGUUGGGCUCUAUAGCGAGACUCCCGGUAAUAAACCGGAGGAAGGUGGGGAUGGUGUCAAAUCAUCAUGCCCCUUAUGACGUGGGCUACACACGUGCUACAAUGGCUGGUACAGGGAGUCGCAAGCCGGUGACGGCAAGAUAAUCUAUGAAACCCAGUCUCAUUUGGGAUUGUUGGCUGCAUCUCGCCUACAUGAAGUCGGAAUCUAUAGUAAUCGCGGAUCAACACGCCGCGGAGAAUACUUUCCCGGGCGUUGUACACACCCCCUGUCACCCCACGAGAGUUUGUAACACCCGAACUCGGUGAGGUAACCCUAAGGAGCCAGCCGCCUAAGGUGGGAUAGAUG
Molecule: ribosomal RNA, 1471 nt
Filed under: uncultured organism
Description: 16S ribosomal RNA
Rfam family: Bacterial small subunit ribosomal RNA
Source: RNAcentral